CCUUUCCCAGGGUCACUGUGGUUCCUGAGCUCGAUUUGUUCCAUGUAAUAAGCAAAACCAUAUACUGCAAAACCAAUUAAGUUGAAAUGGUAUGUUGGUGGUUUGUGCAGGAGCUCAGAGGGCGAUCCAGGUGGGGCGCGUGAGGCAGGUACAGAGAGGAAGGCGAGGCCGAGGUCGUGAAUGAGCCACUGGCUUUGAGCUAUCGCAGGAAGAAGGGCACAAAGUUGAGACAGACCAGCCGAGGGAUUCUUAACAGAAGGGUUUGCCUCUGCUGGUGGAAGGUGAACGGCCGGGCGCUGGGGACAGGGGAGCAGGAUGUUCGGCUGAGGAAAGAAGGAGGUGACGAGAGAACAGAAGAAUUCCAAAGGGCAGGGUCACAGAAAUCCAGGCGGCAGCGGCCUGGAGCAGAAAAGCAGCGUUCGGCAGCACUGAAUGUUCAACGACAGGCGCCGAGGAGGGAACAGGAGGGCAGAAAACAGGAGACCGAAAGCAUUAAGACGACGGCGAGCAACCUUCCAGAAACAAAAUGCAGACCCGGGCAGGCAUUUCAGAAGACCCGAGACCACGUGGCCAGUGUUCCUUUCUUUCCCCUUGGUCGGCUGUUGGGCUUUCCUUGCUGGCUCUGCAGGAGCCUGAGCUUCAGCGCAUCCCCAGAGGACUGCAGAGCACCGUCCAAAACCAAUGGAAAAGUGACGUGAACCCGGCCAUGAGGUAAUGCCGUGGAAAAGCCCUGCGCUAGGGCUGCUUUACGAGAACCACCUCCUGACACAUCUGGCACUGCAAGCCCAAUAGGACGCACCGGGAGGGAUUUUUGUUUGUCGGAGGAAAGGAAAAAAAAAAAAAAAAAAAGAAUUCUGGCCUUGACCCAGACUGACUGCUGUGUCCAGCCUGGAAAGCAGCAGGUGGGGAUCCUGCUGCCUGGGUUGCAACAAAGGGCAGCACCUGUAGGUCGGACGAAGGGGCCAGCGAGGACCCAGGGCCAGCUUGGAGCAGGAGCGAAGACAGGCCAGCCUCCAGCCAGCUUUCUGUAUGUGGGGAGUCUUCAGGGGAAUAGGCCAAAUCAUGCCGUCUGCUUUCUCCAAAGCCCAAACACAGCAAAUCCCUAGUAACACAUUUAAAGAGGUCUGUCCGCUCCCCAUGAAGUCAGCCUGAACUUUGGAACCAGUCUAGGGUUCAAAUCUAGACUCACCCCAUGGGACGUCGAGGAGUGCUGGGGGGAGCUGGAGGGGCUCUAUCCCCCCCUCCGAGGGCUCCCACCAGCCACCCCAAGGACAAAAGAAAAAUAGCACCACCUCUAUCAACACUGUAAAAGGCUAGGGCCAAAUGCAUCAUUAGGAAAAUGCAAAAGAGGUGGCUUUGAACUUGGUGAGACAUCAUGAGCAGAGCUCACCCUCCCGAGCUGCAGAAACUUAUGGACAAAAAGUGACUGUUGAAAUUAAAUGGAGAACAGACUUGUGGUUACCAAGGGGGAGGAGGAGGGAGUGGGAUGAGCUGGGAGCCUGCGGUUGGUAGAGGCAAACGACUGCAUUUGGAGCGCGUGAGCCAUCAGGACCUACUGUACGGAGACCUGUGUCCAGUCUCUUGGGAUAGAACACGAUGGGGGGAUAAUAUGAGAAAAAGAAUGUAUAUAUGUGUAUGACUGGGUCACUCUGCUGUACAGCAGAAAGUGGCACAGCACUGCAAGUCAACUAUACUUUAAUAAAAAAAACAAAAAGAGUUCCCGUUGUGGCUCA
RNAcentral lists this long non-coding RNA (1733 nucleotides) under Sus scrofa (pig). RNAcentral describes it as "lncRNA (ENSSSCG00035004785.1)". The record is from RNAcentral. Lineage: Eukaryota; Metazoa; Chordata; Mammalia; Artiodactyla; Suidae.